This is a long non-coding RNA of Podarcis muralis (Common wall lizard), 3020 nucleotides long. NCBI's taxonomy places the organism in Eukaryota, Metazoa, Chordata, Lepidosauria, Squamata, Lacertidae. The record is from Ensembl.
AUGGCUGAAUUACAAGAGGAGAAGCGCGCCAUGGAACGGGAUUUGCAGCUAAGCCAGCCUAAGCCAGGCACCAGCCCUUCCCUGAUGUCGAAACAUCUUGGGAGUAGCAGCUACCAGCCGCAAUUCAGUGGCUUAAGAGGUUCAGCAAAAGGACCAAGCUUUGGAGAGAUCAGUCCUGCUUCUUCACCAACUCUCAGAGACCAGACUUCUCCUUUAUGCCAUCAGGCACUACCCCGGCGGGGCCACUCAGCACGAGGGUCCUAUGGAUGGUCGCAGCGGGAUGGUGAGGAACCCAACCAAGCCAGGAAGGACAAUGAUGUUCUGUUGCCCAGACCUGUGCUGCCAGUGCCUCUGAAAGGGGGCAGGAUUGCUUCAGCCUGCGGGCUGGCAGUAGCAGGGUUGGACCAUGUCUUCCACCCCACGCCUCCUACAGAGCCAUGCCCAGUGCCCCGCUUCUGCCCUCGCACUCGGCUGCUGCGAUGCAAAGGACCCAGCUAGGGAAUGGAGAGCUGCCGCCUUCCCUUAAGUACCUCAAUUCCCGCUCCCCUGCUGCAGGGUCUCCAAGGGACCCAGCCCUGCAGCAUCCUGUGCCUCAAGAGUUGCUGCUGUUGCCUUUUGCUCAUCCUUGUGAACAGGGUCAAUGGGAUUCCAGGGAAAGUGAAAAGGCAAAGAAAUGCAUACACACAACCUCCCCAACCCAUGAAUGCAGAUAAACUACUUGCAAGUGGGACCUAUGCCAGUGAGAUGCUCUUCUCCUCCUUCCACAACACAGGGCAGUGGGCCUUGUGGCAGUGAGGCUGUGAACCCAACCCACACCAUCCCCAUUCCUCCACGCACCCCAAAGAACUGUACCACCCAAGGUUCAGGAAUAUAAAUUUCAUUAAAAUCUAUCAGACUUUAAAAAUCUACAACUGGAAGAGUCACAGUAUGGGAGACGCGUCACAAUUAUUGCUAUGAACAAUGAGGCGGCAAUGCUAGCUGCCGCCUUGGAUACAGGAGGAAAGGACAGACACGGAACCAUGCAUUAAAUAGUGCAGCCUCGGCACAGAGGAGGGAAGGUCUGGGGGCUGGUGGCUUAGGGCAAAAGUACCAUCAUGGCAUGGAGCCAUCUGUCCCCCCUCUCCCUCUUAACUGCUCACGAUGCAGACGUUUGGCACUUGAACGCUGGCUGCUAUGCCCAUGCCACUGGCUGGAACAGGUACCACGUGGGUAGGAGCCAGGUGUGCCCUUGCUGUUGGCACCAUGGCUACACCGCAGCAAUCGUGCACGGCUGGGAGCUGAGGGGCGCCCCCCCCGACAUGCACUGUUUGGCAUUGGUUAAGUGAAUUGGCAUCAGGGUACAAGACAGGAUUGUGGCUGCCAGGGUCUCCUGUCUCCUCCACCCAGGCGUUUCUAGGGGGUAAAGUGCAGGCAGCAACACUGACAUGGAAACACGGGACGGUGAGGCCGAAAGACGGAACCAUUAGUACCUCCUACCCAUCUGAGGCAGCACAGGCCCUGCUUUGUGUUAGGGAGAAAAGCCUUGGAGUUGGAGACGGGGCUGGUGCCUAUGGCCAACUUCUCCAAAGCUUCACCAUGAAGCUAGCAGCUUCUGCCCCCACUACUAGUGGAGAAGUGGGCCACAUGGAACCCAGGCCUGGCCAGGAUAGCCUUUAGGGAAGCUUGUGCUUUUGCUCUGUGUGUGUGUGUGUGUGUCUUUCCCACCUGCAAUGGUGUGGGCAGGACUUGGCACAUCAUCUGCUCUUAGCACCAUGGUUGGCCCUGUCCCUUUCCCUGUGGGAUAGGGCAGAGCUAGGUCCCAAUGGUCUCUUGCCUUUAUGGAGACCCCAUUCAAAUUAAUUUAUUCCUCUUAGGGGAAGAGUGUAGAAAAGUGCUUCAGAAUAACAGGCUUGGGGGAGCAUCCGGAAGAUGCUGUCUAGACCAAGAAUGCACACAUGGGCAAAAUCUGUCCAGUGGGCUGCAUGUGCUGCCCAGAGUCUGUGGCGCUGCCCGAGAUGUCUAUCAUGGUAAUACGGUGCAUCCAGCCUCUCAGCUGUCGCUUUUUCUAUUUGUGAGAGAUGCUGUUUGCUUAUGUUUCACUCUGCAGGUGUGCGAUUCUGGAUGGUGUGCAAAUAAGGCUCAAUAUUAAGAUCAGAAGGGAGACAAGUGCAUAUUUUUGUUCAUGGAGUUGUGAUUCUCCCAUGCUCUUGCAACCCAAUUAAGGAGAGCUCUCCUGCCCCCUACCCACCCACCCCAGUCAUUAACCUGCCAAAUUCAAUACAUAGUUUCUAGCAGGAACGUUUCUUAUCAUGGGAGGCCAUGGCGAGAAGUGCAAAUUGUUAAGUGCUGGGGAAGCUAGCUUUCCUUUCCUAGGUGGGGAAGCUGGGAAGGUCUGUGCAGUGGUUGGGGGGGGAGGUGCAGUCUUAAGUGCAUCUCUGGAAAAGCCCUCGCAGGGGCAGCAGCCUAGCUGAAGGCUGCCUAGCCUGUGGCCAAGCGAUGCCUAGAAUGUCAGGAUUAACAUUUACAAUUACAACCAACCCUCUUGCCCUCCCCCUCCCCCCACCCCAACCCCCAUUUGCUUAUCUGUGGGGCCAGUCCCCAGGGCCCUGAUCCAGGGCAGUAUGGGGCAUACCACCCCCAAUAGAUACCAGACCCCCUGGGCCCAGGUGCAGCUGCCAGAAUCCACCCCCAAAGGGGCUGCUGAGCCAGCGAGGCUCCAACCGACCCUCCUCCUGGUGCCCUUUCCCAAGGCACCCCCAACGGUUCAGCCAGUGCACACCCUCCCCACCCCUGACCCUGGUCCUGGUUGCGAAUUGGGGCCAUCCGAACGUGACUGUAAACAUGAGGGUUACAAGAUGGCACGGGGGGGCACUAAUGAGGUGGGUGGGGUUGGAACUCACAGCCCCUCCCCCAGAGUCUGGCGCAGCCCGGGAGCCAGGGCUCCCCCACCCAGUGGGGGGGCGCUGUCAUAUAUCUGAGCAGAGUAGGGUUUGGAGAACCAGGGCAGGUGGGAGAGGGGAGGUGCAAGGAGGGCUCCCUGC